AGAGAAGCUAGUUCUUUGUGAGUACAGUAAUCAGUGGCAGAAUUACAAGAGUGGAGAGGGGGAUACAUUAACAUGAGACUGGGAUAAAAGUGAAGAAGAAAACACCAAGACUGUUAGUUCUGCAGUGUAAUGGAGACAAUCCUGCAUUUACAUCUAUGCACAAAAUCAAGAUGCUGUUGUGGGAUGGGUUUGCAUCCAGGAUGAGGUUUAACUAUGUCUGGAAAGUGAAAUUAAAGAGAGAGGUUACAAAUACCCAUCAGCACUUGAA
Molecule: long non-coding RNA, 268 nt
Filed under: Crocodylus porosus (Australian saltwater crocodile)
Lineage: Eukaryota; Metazoa; Chordata; Crocodylia; Crocodylidae
Description: lncRNA (ENSCPRG00005009722.1)
Source: RNAcentral